GACGAACGCUGGCGGCGUGCUUAACACAUGCAAGUCGAACGGAAAGGCCCUGCUUUUGUGGGGUGCUCGAGUGGCGAACGGGUGAGUAACACGUGAGUAACCUGCCCUUGUCUUUGGGAUAACUUCAGGAAACUGGGGCUAAUACCGGAUAGGAGCUCCUGCUGCAUGGUGGGGGUUGGAAAGUUUCGGCGGUUGGGGAUGGUCUCGCGGCUUAUCAGCUUGUUGGUGGGGUAGUGGCUUACCAAGGCUUUGACGGGUAGCCGGCCUGAGAGGGUGACCGGCCACAUUGGUACUGAGAUACGGCCCAGACUCCUACGGGAGGCAGUAGUGGGGAGUAUUGCACAAUGGGCGGAAGCCUGAUGCAGCGACGCCGCGUGCGGGAUGACGGCCUUCGGGUUGUAAACCGCUUUCGCCGGUGACGAAGCGUGAGUGACGGUAAUGGGUAAAGAAGCACCGGCUAACUACGUG
Molecule: ribosomal RNA, 468 nt
Filed under: uncultured bacterium
Lineage: Bacteria
Description: partial 16S ribosomal RNA
Rfam family: Bacterial small subunit ribosomal RNA
Source: RNAcentral